CCCAUCUUCCUUGUAUGCUCGAUCUGUUUGGGAAUCCCACUAAAUCGAAGGUCGUAGUCGAACCAGUAUCCAAACACAUCACUUGUCCAGAUUGAAGGAGUCAACACCCAAGAGAAGUUCGAGUUAAUCAGAAGAGAACAAACUCUAUCAGCUCUUGUGAAAUGGAUAAAGCUUGGGUUUGGUUGCCAAGGUAUUAACUUGUUCUUACAUAUAUGCAUUGAUUUCAUUUUAUGAUUGACUGUUCUCAGUUUGUAAUGGGUACUAUUUGUUAACUUGUAGGAAUAGCCUUGAGUAUGAAACAGGAGCAACUAAGUUUGUGGUUGAAUCAUCAAGUAAUUUGGGUAAUC
Molecule: long non-coding RNA, 347 nt
Organism: Arabidopsis lyrata subsp. lyrata
Lineage: Eukaryota; Viridiplantae; Streptophyta; Magnoliopsida; Brassicales; Brassicaceae
Exons: 4
Source: RefSeq, a predicted model, not a curated record